GACAGAGGAGGCAAGCGUUGUUCGGAAUUACUGGGCGUAAAGGGCGCGUAGGCGGCCUUCUAAGUCAGACGUGAAAUCCCCGGGCUCAACCCGGGAACUGCGUCCGAUACUGGAAGGCUUGAAUCCGGGAGAGGGAUGCGGAAUUCCAGGUGUAGCGGUGAAAUGCGUAGAUAUCUGGAGGAACACCGGUGGCGAAGGCGGCAUCCUGGACCGGUAUUGACGCUGAGGCGCGAAAGCCAGGGGAGCAAACGGG
Molecule: ribosomal RNA, 253 nt
Filed under: uncultured bacterium
Lineage: Bacteria
Description: partial 16S ribosomal RNA
Rfam family: Bacterial small subunit ribosomal RNA
Source: RNAcentral